UCCCUUAGUAACUGCGAGUGAAGAGGGAAGAGCUCAAAUUUAAAAUCUGGUAGUCUUUGGGCUACUUGAGUUGUAAUCUAGAGAAGCAUUUUCCGUGCUGGACCAUGUACAAGUCUCCUGGAAUGGGGCAUCAUAGAGGGUGAGAAUCCCGUCUUUGACAAUGGACCACCAGUAUAUUGUGAUAUGCUCUCAACGAGUCGAGUUGUUUGGGAAUGCAGCUCUAAAUGGGUGGUAAAUUCCAUCUAAAGCUAAAUAUUGGCGAGAGACCGAUAGUGAACAAGUACCGUGAGGGAAAGAUGAAAAGAACUUUGAAAAGAGAGUUAAAUAGUACGUGAAAUUGUUGAAAGGGAAACGCUUGAAGUCAGUCACAUUGUUCAGGGAUCAAUCUUGCUUUUGCUUGGUGUAUUUUCUGAUUCAAUGGGUCAGCAUCAAUUUUGAUUAGUGGAAAAAGACAGUGGGGAAUGUGGCAUCUAUAGAUGUGUUUAUAGCCCUCUGUUGUAUACAUUGAUUAGAAUUGAGGAACUCAGCACGCCGAGAGGCCGGGUUUUAACCACGUUCGUGCUUAGGAUGCUGGCAUAAUGGCUUUAAUCGACCCGUCUUGAAACACGGACCAAGGAGUCUAACAUGCCUGCAAGUGUUUGAGUGGAAAACUCAUGCGCGUAAUGAAAGUAAAAAUUGGGAUCUCUAAUAGAGAGCACUGAUGCCCGGACCAGACCUUCUGUGACGGAUCCGCGGUUGAGCAUGUAUGUUGGGACCCGAAAGAUGGUGAACUAUGCCUGAAUAGGGUGAAGCCAGAGGAAACUCUGGUGGAAGCUCGCAGCGAUUCUGACGUGCAAAUCGAUCGUCAAAUUUGGGUAUAGGGGCGAAAGACUAAUCGAACCAUCUAGUAGCUGGUUCCUGCCGAAGUUUCCCUCAGGAUAGCAGAAACUCAUAUCAGAUUUAUGUGGUAAAGCGAAUGAUUAGAGGCCUUGGGGUUGUAACAACCUUAACCUAUUCUCAAACUUUAAAUAUGUAAGAACGAGCCGUCUCUUAAUUGGACCGCUCGAUGAUUGAGAGUUUCUAGUGGGCCAUUUUUGGUAAGCAGAACUGGCGAUGCGGGAUGAACCGAACGCGAGGUUAAGGUGCCGGAAUUCACGCUCAUCAGACACCACAAAAGGUGUUAGUUCAUCUAGACAGCAGGACGGUGGCCAUGGAAGUCGGAAUCCGCUAAGGAGUGUGUAACAACUCACCUGCCGAAUGAACUAGCCCUGAAAAUGGAUGGCGCUUAAGCGUGAUACCCAUACCUCGCCGUCAGUGUUAAAGUGAUGCAUUGACGAGUAGGCAGGCAUGGAGGUCAGUAAAGAAGCCUGGCAGUAA
Molecule: ribosomal RNA, 1356 nt
Filed under: Inocephalus sp. MCA1867
Lineage: Eukaryota; Fungi; Basidiomycota; Agaricomycetes; Agaricales; Entolomataceae
Description: eukaryotic LSU rRNA
Rfam family: Eukaryotic large subunit ribosomal RNA
Source: RNAcentral